AUGAUUUAUGAUGCUAUAAUUUUAUAAAGAGGUAAAAAAUCCUUUUGGUUCUAAAGGGACGACAAGACCCUGGAAGCUUUGAAGUUUGGAAUAACUUAUUUAACUGGGGCGGUUUAUAAUAAAAACAUUAAAUAUAAAAACAUCUUGUAUGGGUUAUUUGAGCAUAGUUUAGGCAAUAAAGAUAAGCUACUCCAGGGAUAACAGCGUGAUUAUACCAGAGAGUCCAUAUCGAAGGUGUAGUUGUGACCUCGAUGUUGAAU
RNAcentral lists this ribosomal RNA (260 nucleotides) under Nerocila longispina. RNAcentral's name for it is "partial 16S ribosomal RNA". The stretch from base 28 to 260 matches the Rfam family "Bacterial large subunit ribosomal RNA", at positions 2049 to 2537 of the family's 2925-position model. Lineage: Eukaryota; Metazoa; Arthropoda; Malacostraca; Isopoda; Cymothoidae. The record is from RNAcentral.